Molecule: ribosomal RNA, 373 nt
Filed under: uncultured bacterium
Lineage: Bacteria
Description: bacterial SSU rRNA
Rfam family: Bacterial small subunit ribosomal RNA
Source: RNAcentral
ACGGAGGUGGCAAGCGUUGUUCGGAAUUACUGGGCGUAAAGGGCGCGUAGGCGGCCUUCUAAGUCGGACGUGAAAGCCCCAGGCUUAACCUGGGAACUGCGUCCGAUACUGGGAGGCUUGGAUUCGGGAGAGGGAUGUGGAAUUCCAGGUGUAGCGGUGAAAUGCGUAGAUAUCUGGAGGAACACCGGUGGCGAAGGCGGCAUCCUGGACCGAGAUCGACGCUGAGGCGCGAAAGCUAGGGGAGCAAACGGGAUUAGAUACCCCGGUAGUCCUAGCCCUAAACGAUGAGUGCUUGGUGUGGCGGGUAUCGAUCCCUGCCGUGCCGAAGCUAACGCAUUAAGCACUCCGCCUGGGGAGUACGGUCGCAAGGCUG